GAGUUUGAUCCUGGCUCAGGACGAACGCUGGCGGCGUGCUUAACACAUGCAAGUCGAGCGGUAAGGCCCCUUCGGGGGUACACGAGCGGCGAACGGGUGAGUAACACGUGAGUAACCUGCCCCUGACUCUGGGAUAAGCCUGGGAAACUGGGUCUAAUACCGGAUAUGACCUCGUGCCGCAUGGUGUGGGGUGGAAAGGUGUUUUUCCGGUCAGGGAUGGGCUCGCGGCCUAUCAGCUUGUUGGUGGGGUAACGGCCUACCAAGGCGAUGACGGGUAGCCGGCCUGAGAGGGCGGCCGGCCACACUGGGACUGAGACACGGCCCAGACUCCUGCGGGAGGCAGCAGUGGGGAAUAUUGCGCAAUGGGCGGAAGCCUGACGCAGCGACGCCGCGUGGGGGAUGAAGGCCUUCGGGUUGUAAACCUCUUUUACCACUCACGAAGGCCCCUGGUUUUCUGGGGGUUGACGGUAGGUGGUGAAUAAGGACCGGCUAACUACGUGCCAGCAGCCGCGGUAAUACGUAGGGUCCGAGCGUUGUCCGGAAUUAUUGGGCGUAAAGAGCUCGUAGGCGGCCUGUCGCGUCUGCUGUGAAAGUCCGGGGCUUAACUCCGGGUGUGCAGUGGAUACGGGCAGGCUUGAGGUAGGUAGGGGAGACUGGAAUUCCUGGUGUAGCGGUGAAAUGCGCAGAUAUCAGGAGGAACACCGGUGGCGAAGGCGGGUCUCUGGGCCUUACCUGACGCUGAGGAGCGAAAGCGUGGGGAGCGAACAGGAUUAGAUACCCUGGUAGUCCACGCCGUAAACGUUGGGCGCUAGGUGUGGGGACUUUCCACGGUUUCCGUGCCGUAGCUAACGCAUUAAGCGCCCCGCCUGGGGAGUACGGCCGCAAGGCUAAAACUCAAAGGAAUUGACGGGGGCCCGCACAAGCGGCGGAGCAUGUUGCUUAAUUCGACGCAACGCGAAGAACCUUACCAAGGCUUGACAUCACCGGUAAUCCUCCAGAAGAUGGGGGGUCCUUCCGGGGAUCG
Molecule: ribosomal RNA, 1024 nt
Filed under: uncultured bacterium
Lineage: Bacteria
Description: bacterial SSU rRNA
Rfam family: Bacterial small subunit ribosomal RNA
Source: RNAcentral